Molecule: long non-coding RNA, 1029 nt
Filed under: Sus scrofa (pig)
Lineage: Eukaryota; Metazoa; Chordata; Mammalia; Artiodactyla; Suidae
Description: lncRNA (ENSSSCG00005030310.1)
Source: RNAcentral
CUCCCGCAGGGAGGAUUCAGGGGAGGCCAGCGGCACUAGACAAGAGGACCUAACAGCACCUCCACUCCAUUCCCCUCCCGACCGCCCUUCACCUCUGGGAGAGGCAGUGUGGCUGCAGGUGGGCUGGGCCUGCCAGGGAGCCGACGCCCUCCCUUCCCCGGACAUGCUCUCAUGCCCACUUCCUGCUUCUUUCCUAGAAGCCCCUGCCGCCCACCCAGCCUCUCUGUCUCCGUCACACACUGGACCCCACUGGCUGAGAAUUUGGGGAGUGAGGAGGACAAGAAUGGGAGAAAGGGGUUCCCUUGUGCCUCCUCCUGGAACUGCCCUCAGCUUUGGCCUCUCUCUACUUCAUCCUCUGAAAACACUGGACCUGGGGGUGAUCCCUGCCCCCCACCCCCCAGCCUCCCCACUUCCCACCUGCCGUGUUGUAGCUAGAACUUCUCUAAGCCUGUAUGUUUAUGUGGAAUAAGUAUCGGGAUUAGGGGGAAAGACAGAGCAACAGCCUGUGGCCCUGGGGUUGGAAAUCUCUAUCAUAGCUGCCACACUGGUUUUUCUAUAAUCACUUGGGGUUUGUACAUUUUUUUGGGGGGAGAGACACAGAUUUUUACACUAAUAUAUGGAUCUAGCUCAAUGCUAUUUUAAUCCCCUGCACUAGGCAGGUAAUAAUAAAGGUUGAGUUUUCCACAGCCGUGAGUGGAUUUCUUUGGGUUUUGGUGAAAUCUGCCUCCUGCACCCUCCCUGGCCCAUUUCUUUUCUUUCUUCCCUUGUUUUUUCCUUCUUCUCCCCAUUCCAUUUCCUACUACGUGUUUUGUCUAGCAGAGUGUUCUGUUUCUGGACAAGUCAGGCCACUGCCUGUGGGGAACCCUGCAGGAGGCCUGGGGGAGCUUAACACUGUCUGACCUAUGGACCCCUCUGGCAGUCUGGAGAGGUCUGUUGAUUCCUCCUCAGAAUUAUGCUUUAAAGCCCAUUAAAAAGUUAUUACAUAUGUAAUCAAAGAAAUCAAUUGAGAAGGUUUAGCAAAAUGUUUUU